AGUUAACGCUGGCGGUAGGCCUAACACAUGCAAGUCGAACGGCAGCACAGUAAGCGCUUGCUCUUACGGGUGGCGAGUGGUGGACGGCUGAGCAAUACAUCGGAAUCUACUUUUUCGUGGGGGCUAACGUAGGGAAACUUACGCUAAUACCGCAUACGACCUACGGCUGAAAUCAGUGGAUCUUUGGACCUUGCGCGAUUUAAUGACCCGAUGUCGGAUUAGCUAGUUGGCGGGGUAAAGGCCCACCAAGUCGACGAUCCGUAGCUGCUCUGACAGGAUGCUCAGCCCCACUGAGCCUGCAACACGCUUCAGAAUCCUACGGCAGGCCGCAGUGCGCAAUAUUGGGCAACAGGCAGAAGCCUGCUCCAGCGAUCCCGCGUGAGUGAGGAAGGCCUUAGGGUUGUAGAGCCCUUUUGUUGGGAAAGAAAAGCAGCACAUUAAUACCCAGCUGUUCUGACGGUACCCAACGAAUAAGCACCGGCUACCUUCGUG
This 492-nucleotide ribosomal RNA is filed under the name uncultured bacterium. RNAcentral's name for it is "partial 16S ribosomal RNA". It matches the Rfam family "Bacterial small subunit ribosomal RNA", at positions 29 to 507 of the family's 1533-position model. The record is from RNAcentral.